CCCCUCUCAGGGUUGCACCUGGAGAGUUUCUAGUAGUCUACCAGUCUUGACUACUGGAGGAGAGACAAGCAGAGGCACACCCAUUCCAUUCCUAGCUUGGUCAGUGGCUAGCGAGUGGAAGGCAAUCUGCUACAAGU
Small nucleolar RNA from Ornithorhynchus anatinus (platypus), 137 nucleotides. The record is from RefSeq and is a predicted model, not a curated record. Lineage: Eukaryota; Metazoa; Chordata; Mammalia; Monotremata; Ornithorhynchidae.